This 170-nucleotide small RNA is filed under the name Chrysemys picta bellii (western painted turtle). RNAcentral's name for it is "TUC338 (ENSCPBG00000019607.1)". The record is from RNAcentral. Lineage: Eukaryota; Metazoa; Chordata; Testudines; Emydidae.
UUGACAGCCCUGGAAACUGAACUCUUUUAUUUAUUCAUACCAGAGGUACAGCAUAGGCAGCUGUCAUGCAAACUUCUCCAUACUGGCCUAACAAAGUUUCUUAACCAUGACCUAAAGGGCUCCACUCCAAAGAAGAAUUCAGCUUUGUGCCUAUUGAAACCUUGAUCUUU